This 1377-nucleotide ribosomal RNA is filed under the name uncultured bacterium. RNAcentral describes it as "bacterial SSU rRNA". It matches the Rfam family "Bacterial small subunit ribosomal RNA", at positions 27 to 1395 of the family's 1533-position model. The record is from RNAcentral.
GAUUGAACGCUGGCGGUAUGCUUAACACAUGCAAGUCGAACGGAAACGAUACUAGCUUGCUAGUAGGCGUCGAGUGGCGGACGGGUGAGUAACGCGUAGGAAUCUGCCUGAUAGUGGGGGAUAGCCCGAAGAAAUUCGGAUUAAUACCGCAUAAUCUAUUCGUAGUAAAGUGGGGGACUUUCGAGCCUCACGCUAUCAGAUGAGCCUGCGUAAGAUUAGCUUGUUGGUGGGGUAAAAGCCCACCAAGGCGACGAUCUUUAGCUGGUCUGAGAGGAUGAUCAGCCACAUCGGGACUGAGACACGGCCCGAACUCCUACGGGAGGCAGCAGUGGGGAAUAUUGGACAAUGGGGGCAACCCUGAUCCAGCAAUACCGCGUGUGUGAAGAAGGCCUGAGGGUUGUAAAGCACUUUCAAUUGUGAAGAAAAGUUAGCGGUUAAUAACCGUUAGCCUUGACGUUAACUUUAGAAGAAGCACCGGCUAACUCCGUGCCAGCAGCCGCGGUAAUACGGAGGGUGCAAGCGUUAAUCGGAAUUACUGGGCGUAAAGCGUGCGUAGCGGUUUAUUAAGUCAGAUGUGAAAGCCCCGGGCUUAACCUGGGAACUGCAUUUGAAACUGGUCAACUAGAGUAUGGUAGAGGAAAGUGGAAUUUCUGGUGUAGCGGGUGAAAUGCGUAGAUAUCAGAAGGAACAUCAAUGGCGAAGGCAGCUUUCUGGACCAAUACUGACGCUGAGGUACGAAAGCGUGGGUAGCAAACAGGAUUAGAUACCCUGGUAGUCCACGCCGUAAACGAUGAUAACUAGCCGUUGGGGGGAUUUACCCUUUAGUGGCGAAGCUAACGCGUUAAGUUAUCCGCCUGGGGAGUACGGCCGCAAGGUUAAAACUCAAAGGAAUUGACGGGGACCCGCACAAGCGGUGGAGCAUGUGGUUUAAUUCGAUGCAACGCGAAGAACCUUACCUGGUCUUGACAUCCUGCGAACUUUCUAGAAAUAGAUUGGUGCCUUCGGGAACGCAGUGACAGGUGCUGCAUGGCUGUCGUCAGCUCGUGUCGUGAGAUGUUGGGUUAAGUCCCGUAACGAGCGCAACCCCUAUCCUUAUUUGCCAGCACAUUAUGGUGGGAACUAUAAGGAGACUGCCGGUGAUAAACCGGAGGAAGGCGGGGACGACGUCAAGUCAUCAUGGCCCUUACGACCAGGGCUACACACGUGCUACAAUGGGAAGGACAAAGAGCCGCGAAGCCGCGAGGUGUAGCUAAUCUCAUAAACCUUUUCGUAGUCCGGAUUGGAGUCUGCAACUCGACUCCAUGAAGUCGGAAUCGCUAGUAAUCGUAGAUCAGAAUGCUACGGUGAAUACGUUCCCGGGUCUUGUACACACCGCCC